GACGAACGCUGGCGGCGUGCUUAACACAUGCAAGUCGAACGAUGAAGAAGAGAAACGCGAACUUCGGUUCAAAUUUCACUUCGGAUUAGUGGCAGACGGGUGAGUAACGCGUGAGCAACCUACCUCUUACAAAGGGAUAGCCUCGGGAAACCGUGAUUAAUACCAUAUGACACAUUCAUAAGGCAUCUUAAGAAUGUUAAAGCUACGGCGGUAAGAGAUGGGCUCGCGUCCCAUUAGCUAGUUGGUGAGGUAACGGCCCACCAAGGCGACGAUGGGUAACCGGCCUGAGAGGGUGAACGGUAACAUUGGAACUGAGACACGGUCCAAACUCCUACGGGAGGCAGCAGUGGGGAAUAUUGCACAAUGGAGGGAACUCUGAUGCAGCGACGCCGCGUGAGCGAUGAGGGAAUUCGUUUCGUAAAGCUCUGUUCUAUGGGAAGAAAAGGACUGUACCAUAGGAGAAAGCCCCGGCUAAAUACGUG
This 482-nucleotide ribosomal RNA is filed under the name uncultured bacterium. RNAcentral describes it as "partial 16S ribosomal RNA". It matches the Rfam family "Bacterial small subunit ribosomal RNA", at positions 28 to 507 of the family's 1533-position model. The record is from RNAcentral.